UGCAUAUCCUUUUAAAAUGAA
This is a non-coding RNA of Caenorhabditis elegans, 21 nucleotides long. The record is from Ensembl. Lineage: Eukaryota; Metazoa; Nematoda; Chromadorea; Rhabditida; Rhabditidae.